Molecule: unclassified non-coding RNA, 328 nt
Filed under: soil metagenome
Description: partial contains 5.8S ribosomal RNA, internal transcribed spacer 2, and large subunit ribosomal RNA
Rfam family: 5.8S ribosomal RNA (bases 1-120)
Source: RNAcentral
GAUGAAGAACGCAGCGAAAUGCGAUACGUAAUGUGAAUUGCAGAAUUCAGUGAAUCAUCGAGUCUUUGAACGCACAUUGCGCCCCUUGGUAUUCCGAGGGGCAUGCCUGUUCGAGCGUCAUUAUAACCCUCAAGCUCAGCUUGGUGUUGGGGCCUGCUGCACUGGCAGCCCUUAAAAUCAGUGGCGGCGCCAUCUGGCUCUAAGCGUAGUAAUUCUUCUCGCUAUGGAGUCCUGGUGGACGCUUGCCAUCAACCCCCAAUUUUUCUAUGGUUGACCUCGGAUCAGGUAGGGAUACCCGCUGAACUUAAGCAUAUCAAUAAGCGGAGGA